GUGCCAGCCGCCGCGGUAAUACGAAGGGGGCUAGCGUUGCUCGGAAUCACUGGGCGUAAAGCGCACGUAGGCGGGUUGCCAAGUCGGGGGUGAAAUCCUGGAGCUCAACUCCAGAACUGCCUUCGAUACUGGCGAUCUUGGAGUCCGGGAGAGGUGAGUGGAACUGCGAGUGUAGAGGUGAAAUUCGUAGAUAUUCGCAAGAACACCAGUGGCGAAGGCGGCUCACUGGCCCGGUACUGACGCUGAGGUGCGAAAGCGUGGGGAGCAAACAGGAUUAGAUACCCCAGUAGUCC
RNAcentral lists this ribosomal RNA (293 nucleotides) under uncultured bacterium. RNAcentral's name for it is "partial 16S ribosomal RNA". It matches the Rfam family "Bacterial small subunit ribosomal RNA", at positions 505 to 796 of the family's 1533-position model. The record is from RNAcentral.